Molecule: ribosomal RNA, 497 nt
Filed under: uncultured bacterium
Lineage: Bacteria
Description: partial 16S ribosomal RNA
Rfam family: Bacterial small subunit ribosomal RNA
Source: RNAcentral
GAUGAACGCUGGCGGCGUGCCUAAUACAUGCAAGUCGAGCGAACGGACGAGAAGCUUGCUUCUCUGAUGUUAGCGGCGGACGGGUGAGUAACACGUGGAUAACCUACCUAUAAGACUGGGAUAACUUCGGGAAACCGUAGCUAAUACCGGAUAAUAUUUUGAACAGCAUGGUUCAAACGUGAAAGACGGUCUUGCUGUCACUUAUAGAUGGAUCCGCGCUGCAUUAGCUAGUUGGUAAGGUAACGGCUUACCAAGGCAACGAUGCAUAGCCGACCUGAACGGGUGAUCGGCCACACGGGAACUGAGACACGGUCCAGACUCCUACGGGAGGCAGCAGUAGGGAAUCUUCCGCAAAGGGCGAAAGCCUGACGGAGCAACGCCGCGGGAGUGAUGAUGGUCUUCGGAUCGUAAAACUCUGUUAUUAGGGAAGAACAUAUGUGUAAGUAACUGUGCACAUCUUGACGGUACCUGAUCAGAAAGCCACGGCUAACUACGUG